GGCCACUGGGCUGUGGGCUCAGGGAUCCUGGCUGCCCUGGAGGUGGCCCAAGCACAGCUGGGAGGUUUCCUGAGGCCCUGAACUGAGUGAGACUAAAAGGGCUAGUGACACUUCCUUGUCCAUCCCGUUGUAUUGGCAGGGUCACUGACGUCACAGGCUACAGGGACUACCCAGAGCCCAGCCACCCAGCGGGUUCUGUCUGCUCAGGAUCCUGAGGAAACAAAGUGAGGCUCUGCUCCCACCCUGCCUCACCCGGAACCCCCCUCCUAGCCACAGCAGGUUCAGGAUCCUCUGUAGAAGGUUCCUUUAGAGCACAAGUUUCUGCCUAAAACACUGGGCACUCAGUGGCUUUUGUUCUUCCUUUGGAAUUCCUAAGGGCCUGGAACUGGAAGGAAAGCACCUCAGAGGCCACCUAUACAUCCCCACCACCUGCCCCUGUGCAAGACAGGAGACUGAGGCCCAGAGGGGCUGGUGUCUACCGGAAUUUGCGUAGCAGGUUGUGGUCCUGGGUGUGGACAGGAAUGGGAGCCUCCUGACUCCCAGGCCAGGUUUUGCCUAAGCGUGGGCAUCUGGGGACAUGAAGAGAAGCUGCCCAGAGGGAAAGCGGAGGACCAUGAGUCAUCUGGGUAUCUGUCUGAACACGUUGGUGGGUCUGUCCCUGGACAGGGUGGGGGUCUGAAUGUUCUGUAGCCCCCAUUCCCAUUCCCAUGGAGCAGGAUAUGCCCGAGAGGCAGGACACACCCAGGGACAGAGGUCAGCAGUGGCUGGUGGAGAGCAGAGCUCAUGGCCCCUUCAGGGGAUCUAGGCUCCUGUCCCCAGCAGCAUGGUCAAGGUGAUGGUGCAGGGGCAGCCUUCCCUCCUCUAUACCUCACCUUCUUCUGUCCCUCCGGGUCCCCAGGUUGAGUUUGUUGGGCCUCUGCCGGGCAGAGGUGCAUUCUAAAUGAGAAGCCAAGGCAAGGAGUGUGCUGGUGGAGUCACAGUAGACAAGGACGAAGGGGCGUGGGUCGGCAUGGAGCAAGGGACCCCGUACCCACCUAGGGUCACAGUGAAGCCAGGUACAU
RNAcentral lists this long non-coding RNA (1061 nucleotides) under Marmota monax (woodchuck). Lineage: Eukaryota; Metazoa; Chordata; Mammalia; Rodentia; Sciuridae. The record is from RNAcentral.